Molecule: long non-coding RNA, 465 nt
Filed under: Lathyrus oleraceus (garden pea)
Lineage: Eukaryota; Viridiplantae; Streptophyta; Magnoliopsida; Fabales; Fabaceae
Description: Pisum sativum (pea) long non-coding RNA (PSAT_LNC008421)
Source: RNAcentral
AUAUUUAUAUGAAAAUUAUUUGUAUGGUUUUUUUCCAAUAUUGAAAAAUUCCAAACAAAUAAUAUUCUGAUUUCCUUUCCCCUUAAUUUAAUUUAUAAAAAAAAAUCCUUUUUAGUUGACCUAUUUUUUUCAUUAUAAAACCAAACAAUUACACAUUAAGGGGGAGGAGAACAAAAAAAUUAACCAAAAGCCUCACAAAAUCCACAACUCUCCGUCUCUCACACGUACAGAGCCACCAACACCAAGAAAAGUCACAUGAAAGUUCCUAAAACCAAACCUUCAUCAUUUCUCUUCAUAAACCAUCUCCAAAACCAAAAGCCUCACAAAAUCCACAACUCUCCGUCUCUCACACGUACAGAGCCACCAACACCAAGAAAAGUCACAUGAAAGUUCCUAAAACCAAACCUUCAUCAUUUCUCUUCAUAAACCAUCUCCAUAGUUAACCUUCAACUCCUCAUCAACCAC